This 1554-nucleotide ribosomal RNA is filed under the name Staphylococcus aureus. RNAcentral describes it as "16S ribosomal RNA". It matches the Rfam family "Bacterial small subunit ribosomal RNA". The record is from RNAcentral. Lineage: Bacteria; Bacillati; Bacillota; Bacilli; Caryophanales; Staphylococcaceae.
UUUAUGGAGAGUUUGAUCCUGGCUCAGGAUGAACGCUGGCGGCGUGCCUAAUACAUGCAAGUCGAGCGAACGGACGAGAAGCUUGCUUCUCUGAUGUUAGCGGCGGACGGGUGAGUAACACGUGGAUAACCUACCUAUAAGACUGGGAUAACUUCGGGAAACCGGAGCUAAUACCGGAUAAUAUUUUGAACCGCAUGGUUCAAAAGUGAAAGACGGUCUUGCUGUCACUUAUAGAUGGAUCCGCGCUGCAUUAGCUAGUUGGUAAGGUAACGGCUUACCAAGGCAACGAUGCAUAGCCGACCUGAGAGGGUGAUCGGCCACACUGGAACUGAGACACGGUCCAGACUCCUACGGGAGGCAGCAGUAGGGAAUCUUCCGCAAUGGGCGAAAGCCUGACGGAGCAACGCCGCGUGAGUGAUGAAGGUCUUCGGAUCGUAAAACUCUGUUAUUAGGGAAGAACAUAUGUGUAAGUAACUGUGCACAUCUUGACGGUACCUAAUCAGAAAGCCACGGCUAACUACGUGCCAGCAGCCGCGGUAAUACGUAGGUGGCAAGCGUUAUCCGGAAUUAUUGGGCGUAAAGCGCGCGUAGGCGGUUUUUUAAGUCUGAUGUGAAAGCCCACGGCUCAACCGUGGAGGGUCAUUGGAAACUGGAAAACUUGAGUGCAGAAGAGGAAAGUGGAAUUCCAUGUGUAGCGGUGAAAUGCGCAGAGAUAUGGAGGAACACCAGUGGCGAAGGCGACUUUCUGGUCUGUAACUGACGCUGAUGUGCGAAAGCGUGGGGAUCAAACAGGAUUAGAUACCCUGGUAGUCCACGCCGUAAACGAUGAGUGCUAAGUGUUAGGGGGUUUCCGCCCCUUAGUGCUGCAGCUAACGCAUUAAGCACUCCGCCUGGGGAGUACGACCGCAAGGUUGAAACUCAAAGGAAUUGACGGGGACCCGCACAAGCGGUGGAGCAUGUGGUUUAAUUCGAAGCAACGCGAAGAACCUUACCAAAUCUUGACAUCCUUUGACAACUCUAGAGAUAGAGCCUUCCCCUUCGGGGGACAAAGUGACAGGUGGUGCAUGGUUGUCGUCAGCUCGUGUCGUGAGAUGUUGGGUUAAGUCCCGCAACGAGCGCAACCCUUAAGCUUAGUUGCCAUCAUUAAGUUGGGCACUCUAAGUUGACUGCCGGUGACAAACCGGUGGAAGGUGGGGAUGCCGUCAAAUCAUCAUGCCCCUUAUGAUUUGGGCUACACACGUGCUACAAUGGACAAUACAAAGGGCAGCGAAACCGCGAGGUCAAGCAAAUCCCAUAAAGUUGUUCUCAGUUCGGAUUGUAGUCUGCAACUCGACUACAUGAAGCUGGAAUCGCUAGUAAUCGUAGAUCAGCAUGCUACGGUGAAUACGUUCCCGGGUCUUGUACACACCGCCCGUCACACCACGAGAGUUUGUAACACCCGAAGCCGGUGGAGUAACCUUUUAGGAGCUAGCCGUCGAAGGUGGGACAAAUGAUUGGGGUGAAGUCGUAACAAGGUAGCCGUAUCGGAAGGUGCGGCUGGAUCACCUCCUUUCU